AGACCCUCAAGCAUAGCUUGGUGUUGGGCAAGGUCCAGGGGGACCUGCCCGUAACUUGUAGGCGGUCACCGCCCGUGCCCCUAGCGUAGCAAGCUUUUCACGCAUUCGCUUGGGGAAUGGCAAGUCUGACCUGCCAGGCAAAACCCAAACCCAUUUCCAAGGU
RNAcentral lists this unclassified non-coding RNA (163 nucleotides) under uncultured Venturiaceae. RNAcentral's name for it is "sequence contains ITS2". The record is from RNAcentral. Lineage: Eukaryota; Fungi; Ascomycota; Dothideomycetes; Venturiales; Venturiaceae.